GAUGAAGAACGUAGCAAAAUGCGAUACUUGGUGUGAAUUGCAGAAUCCCGUGAACCAUCGAGUUUUUGAACGCAAGUUGCGCCCGAAGCCUUUUGGCCGAGGGCACGUCUGCCUGGGCGUCACGCAUCGCGUCGCCCCCCACAAUUCUCCGUAAAGGGAACAUGUGUUUUGGGGGCGGAUAUUGGUCUCCCGUGCUCAUGGCGUGGUUGGCCGAAAUAGGAGUCCUUUCGAUGGACGCACGAACUAGUGGUGGUCGUAAAAACCCUCGUCUUUUGUUUCGUGCUGUUGCUCGCAAGGUAAACUCUUUAAAAACCCCAAUGUGUCGUCUCUUGACGACGCUUCGACCGCGACCCCAGGUCAGGCGGGACUACCCGCUGAGUUUAAGCAUAUCGAUAAGCGGAGGA
RNAcentral lists this unclassified non-coding RNA (404 nucleotides) under soil metagenome. RNAcentral's name for it is "partial contains 5.8S ribosomal RNA, internal transcribed spacer 2, and large subunit ribosomal RNA". The stretch from base 1 to 122 matches the Rfam family "5.8S ribosomal RNA", at positions 35 to 154 of the family's 154-position model. The record is from RNAcentral.